Molecule: ribosomal RNA, 374 nt
Filed under: Ixodes frontalis
Lineage: Eukaryota; Metazoa; Arthropoda; Arachnida; Ixodida; Ixodidae
Description: partial large subunit ribosomal RNA
Source: RNAcentral
AUGAGUGCUAAGAGAAUGAUUUAACAAUUAAUAACUUUCUUUAUUUUAAAAAUUAAAUUUAAUUUUUUUGUGAGGAAGCAAAAAUAUAAAUUAGGGACAAGAAGACCCUAUGAAUUUUUUAAUUAAUAUUUAUGUUAAUUGUUAAUUUAAUAUUAAUUUUGUUGGGGCGACAGAAAAAGAAUAAUUAUCUUUUACUAAUAAGUUAAUUUGGAUCCAUUAUUUAGUGAUUUAAUGAGAAAAAUACUCUAGGGAUAACAGCGUAAUAAUUUUGGAUAGUUCUUAUAGAUAAAAUAGUUUGCGACCUCGAUGUUGGAUUAGGAUUCUUUUUUAAUGAAGAAGUUAAAAAAAGAAGUUUGUUCAACUUUUAAAUUCCU